RNAcentral lists this long non-coding RNA (1485 nucleotides) under Homo sapiens (human). RNAcentral describes it as "non-protein coding BFSP2-AS1:15". The record is from RNAcentral. Lineage: Eukaryota; Metazoa; Chordata; Mammalia; Primates; Hominidae.
UGAACCCAUGGCUGCGGGCUGUGCUGAGGUCAUAGUCAGGCCUGAAAGGACUCGCUGAGCAUGACAAUCAAGUGGAAGAGGGUCUUGCAAUUGCACUUGUCCCUGAGGGGGGCCCUUGUCCUUGCCACCUUGGUUCUUGCUCAGGCUGCUGGGGCUGAGGCCUGAGGUCUGGGAUGGGGAGAGAGCCUUCAGUAUGUGGGCCGCCCUCCUGUCAGAACAGUGUUUGUCGUCUCCUGCUAUCUUACGAGCAAACAGCCAUGUUGUAAAUGGCCUCUGAGGAGGACUGGCCUCUAGGAGUUGAGGACCUCAAGCCUACAUCUGCAAGGAAUUGAACGAUGCCAAGAACCCGAACAAACUCUGAAGAUGAGAAUGCGGCCCUGUUGGUUGAAUCCAUGGAUGUGGAACCCAUGGAUGUGAAGGACUGACUGUACUUUGCACUAGUGGUUCUCAAAGUGUGGGCCCUGGACCAGUGGCAGCAGCAUCACCUGGGAACUUGUGAGAAAUGCACUUUUCAGCUCCUGUUUCAGAUGGACCUAUCAGAAUCUCUGCAGGGAGGCUGUGAGGAUCUAGAGGAUACAGCUACGGAGAACAUGCUGGGUUCCUUGAGCUGCUAAGCACUGAAGUCCCACCAAUGGUGACGAAGGUCUAAGGAGAACAUUGCAAUUGCACAAAAUGAUCCUUGGAAAUUCUUUAGAAGGGCACCAUCUUGGAGACCCAGAAUCAAUAAAACCAGCAUGGCUGGGAGUUUUCUCCAGCAUUUGAAUAAAUUGUUGUUUCUUUGGUUGAACCAUGAUGAGAUAAUUGGCUUAAACCAGGAGUCAUGCAUGGUAUCUGGAAACUUCCUCACUUGAAUCACCAGCAUCAUACUCAGCAUGCAUAAUCCUCUCAUCAUGAGAGGCACAGGGGAAAUGAGCCAGCCUGUCUGGAAAGGAAGCAAAUGCAUGCUUUCCAUCUCCCACUCAGUACUGGACAUGAAGCUAUGUCAUCACCACUUAAUGCCAGCACCACUUAAAUGAUGUUUCUCUCUCUCUGCCCUGUACUUGCUGGAGGCACAUGCCCAUAUCACGUAGGGUGUCAGGGCAGAGAGCUCUUAGGAAGAGCUGAGCUGUGGGGACUUCCUCCCACGCAGAAGAGGGAGGCCUCUGCAGAAUUCUCUGCCAUGUGCUUCUAGGCUUCCUCAACUCAGAAAUUUUAUUAUAGAGUUUUAGAAUGUGAAGAGCUCUUGGAAAUCAUGAAAGAUGAAGAAUCAAGAUGGAAGUUUGAUGGCUUGUCCCAGGCCCCAGAGUGGACCCUUUGCUUUUUGGAAUCCAACAGCAAGGACUCAUGGGAAUAUCGUGGGAUUUGACUUGGAGAGACAGGGCUCAAACCUCAUCUUUGUCACUUAGUGAUUGUGUAAUUCUCUAAAAGUCUAUUUGUAGAAAAGGGAUAAGGGAGCUUUCUUUCCUGGAUUUCAAGAUGAUUAAAAGAGAUGUAUGUAUAAAGGGA